RNAcentral lists this ribosomal RNA (498 nucleotides) under uncultured bacterium. RNAcentral's name for it is "partial 16S ribosomal RNA". It matches the Rfam family "Bacterial small subunit ribosomal RNA", at positions 28 to 508 of the family's 1533-position model. The record is from RNAcentral.
GAUGAACGCUGGCGGCGUGCCUAAUACAUGCAAGUCGAGCGAACGGACGAGAAGCUUGCUUUUCUGAUGUUAGCGGCGGACGGGUGAGUAACACGUGGAUAACCUACCUAUAAGACUGGGAUAACUUCGGGAAACCGGAGCUAAUACCGGAUAAUAUUUUGAACCGCAUGGUUCAAAAGUGAAAGACGGUCUUGCUGUCACUUAUAGAUGGAUCCGCGCUGCAUUAGCUAGUUGGUAAGGUAACGGCUUACCAAGGCAACGAUGCAUAGCCGACCUGAGAGGGUGGUCGGCCACACUGGAACUGAGACACGGUCCAGACUCCUACGGGAGGCAGCAGUAGGGAAUCUUCCGCAAUGGGCGAAAGCCUGACGGGGCAACGCCGCGAGAGUGAUGAAGGUCUUCGGAUCGUAAAACUCUGUUAUUAGGGGAGAACAUAUGUGUAAGUAACUGGGCACAGCUUGACGGUACCUAAUCAGAAAGCCACGGGUAACUACGUGC